UCAUUUUAUAAGUAUGUUUCAUAACUUUGAAAGCUUUCAGUCUCCUUUCUUCCCUUCUAAACUUGAACUUGCAAAGGGACACUAUAUGUUGCAUUAGAAUUUAAAUGUACAUAUUAAGUUGUUGUUAAGCUAAAACUCAAGGUAUGGCAUAAAUAAUUAAGGGUGAAAAGAUAAAACAACAACAGCAACCAAACAUUUAUUCGACUAGGUAGAGUCGGAUACAUGGACGGAAUGAUAUGAUAAGGAGAAUAAAGAAGGGAGCUUACUAGGAAUAGAUGAGCAAUUAAUGGAGAGAGGGGUAUGACGCAAUGGGUGAUGAGUUGUUGGAAAGGUGAAAGUGGAAGGGAGGAAAUGUGAAGUUGAAGAGAAAGGGUGAUAAAUGAAUGUGAAGUUGAUGUGUUCUCAUUUCAUUCAAUCAUGUUAUUGCUUUCUCCAUUCACUCUUCAUUCAAAUCAAUUAUCUUUUAUCUUUUAUUCUACUUCACUCUUGAUUUAAUACUUGUCAACCUUAUUAUUGGGUAUUAUAAAAGCCUAUGUUUUCACAAAACAGAUUAAACUACUCCCUAUAUUUGAACUUUUUAUACUCCUUACGAGCAUGGAUAAUUUGAGUUGGAUAUUAUUUUCAUUUUAUUCUUCAAUCAACCAUUUACUGCAGUAUGAGCUAUGAGAUGAAAUUGGUGAAAACCCCCUUGACAAUGUGGAAGUACUUCAGGAUCAGCUUGAAUUUUUUCCUCAUCUCUGUAAAUUUCAGGUUCAUGCCUUUUCUAUGCUUCUAAGGAUCUUUGUAAAAGUCUCUUUUUCUUUUAAUAUAAUAAAUAUUUUUAAAAUAAUUAUCUUAGAUUUAACAUUUUUUAAUCCCCAAAAUCUCAGUAUGAAAGUUGUAGUUCAUAUUUGAUCAAGAUAAUGGAGCCCAUGAUACAAACCUAUAUGGUAUUCUUUAGUAGUUCUUUAUCAAACACUUCGAUUUUGUUAUCAAAUCACUGGUGGAUUUCAGCAUGCUUAUCCUUAUAUCCAAUGGUAAAAUCAUGUCAACAAGGUAGUUAAAGGAAAUUCAUUUGUUAGGGUCACCGAGUUCUGAUGCACAGAUAACCAAACAACAUGAACUGAGAAAUUGAGCAUGUGUUCAAUGGAACACAAGAAAACAAGAACAGACUCUCAUACAAUCAAUCACCUCAGACUCGGAGAAGCCAUUCUCAUUGCUUUCUCUAACUGAUUUUGCAGCUGAUGCGCCACCUAAAGCUUCUUCCACCAAACUAUCACUGGAUAGUGCAUAAAUAUCGAGUUUAGCAAAUAUUUGAAAGCUACAUUUUACUUCAAACAUUUUAUUUUAUCAGAGAAUAAACAGGUACCUGUCAAAAUAGUAAUAUUGUAAUACAUCAGCAAGCAACUUCCCCAAAUCGGUCUUAAGAGAGCUACCUAAACCUUUAUAACAUAAAAUAAACACAACAUGUUAAUGGGAUAGAGACACAUUAGGCCACAAACAUCCAAAAUCAACAAUUUCAAUGCAUUGCUAAUCUUACUGAUCAGAAAUAUGGAGGUUCCUUUAAGCUCAGGGGAAACAUGUGCUGCUUUCUUCUCAAUCAAAGCUUUAAAAUGAGUACUUUCAAGUUUAAACCACAAUAAAAUACUCAUUCACAUGAGGGGUGAUAAUAACAUGUGAAUCAUUCAAGAAGAAGGGAUUGAGAUUUGGAUGAGUAAAUGGUAAUUCAAUCCUGACCUUGACCGCAAGAGAUGAAUGAUCCUUAGUGAGUGAAGCAUUACUAGGAGGAAUAGAUGAGCAAUUAAUGGAGAGAGGGGUAUGAUGCAAUGGGUGAUGAGUUGAUGGAAAGGUGAAAGUGGAAGGGAGGAAAUGAUGAAGUUGAAGAGAAGGAGUGAUAAAUGAGUGUGAAGUUGAUGUGUUCUUCAUUUCAUUCAUGUGUUCUUCUUUGA
This 1928-nucleotide long non-coding RNA is filed under the name Lupinus angustifolius (narrow-leaved blue lupine). Its description in RNAcentral is "long non-coding RNA (LANG_LNC002981)". The record is from RNAcentral. Lineage: Eukaryota; Viridiplantae; Streptophyta; Magnoliopsida; Fabales; Fabaceae.